AAUUAAAAACUAGAAUGAAAGGUUUAACAUUUAAAUUACUUUAUUAAAUUAUAAAUUUAAUUUAUACUAAAUAUAAAAAUAUAUUUAUAAAAAAAAAAGACGACAAGACCCUAUUAAAUUUAACUUAUGUUAAGCUGGGGAAGCUUAUUAAAUAAAAUUUUAAUUUUAAAUAAAAAAAAUCUAAUAAAAUUAAAUUAAACAAAUUACUAUAGGGAUAACAGCGUUAUUUUAUUUAAAAGUUCAUAUUUAAAAUAAAGAUUGCGACCUCGAUGUUGAAUUAUAUUUCUAUGAUAAUGCAACAAUUACAUUAGUAGGUCUGUUCGACCUUUAAAAUAUUACAUGAUUUGAGUUCAAACCGGUGUAAACCAGGUUGGUUUCUAUCUUUUGAUAUUAUUUUUCUAGUACGAAAGGACAAAAAAAUAUUUAUUAUAAAUUUAUUUAGCAAAAUAUAUGCAUUAGAUUUAGAAUCUAAAAAAAAGUUAUAAUUUCAUUAACAAAUUCAAUAAUUUCUAUUAUAAGACUAUUAGUAGCAGUAGCAUUUUAUACUAUUUUAGAACGAAAAAUCUUAAGAUAUAUUCAAAUUCGAAAAGGACCUAAUAAAGUAGGUUUAAUAGGAAUCUUACAACCAUUCAGAGAUGCUAUUAAACUAUUUAAUAAAAAUUUAAAUACAUCAGAAAGAAUAAACUUUAUCUUAUCAUAUUUAACCCCAGCAUUAUCUUUAAUAUUAUCUUUAAUAAUAUUAACAAUCAUUCCUAUAAAUAAAUAUUCACAUUUUGAUAAUAAAAAUAUAAUUUUAACAUUUUUAUUAAUUUCAAGUUUAUCAGUUUACUCUAUCCU
Molecule: ribosomal RNA, 837 nt
Filed under: Anelosimus kohi
Lineage: Eukaryota; Metazoa; Arthropoda; Arachnida; Araneae; Theridiidae
Description: partial 16S ribosomal RNA
Rfam family: Bacterial large subunit ribosomal RNA (bases 91-389)
Source: RNAcentral